AGUCAUGGCCUAGUGGAUAAGGUGAUUGACUGGAGACCAAAGGGUCGUCGGUUUGAUUCCCAACUCCACUG
This is a non-coding RNA of Danionella cerebrum, 71 nucleotides long. Lineage: Eukaryota; Metazoa; Chordata; Actinopteri; Cypriniformes; Danionidae. The record is from the annotation of a GenBank genome assembly.